This 468-nucleotide ribosomal RNA is filed under the name uncultured bacterium. RNAcentral describes it as "partial 16S ribosomal RNA". It matches the Rfam family "Bacterial small subunit ribosomal RNA", at positions 28 to 507 of the family's 1533-position model. The record is from RNAcentral.
GACGAACGCUGGCGGCGUGCUUAACACAUGCAAGUCGAACGGAAAGGCCCUGCUCUUGUGGGGUGCUCGAGUGGCGAACGGGUGAGUAACACGUGAGUAACCUGCCCUUGACUUUGGGAUAACUUCAGGAAACUGGGGCUAAUACCGGAUAGGAGCUCCUGCUGCAUGGUGGGGGUUGGAAAGUUUCGGCGGUUGGGGAUGGACUCGCGGCUUAUCAGCUUGUUGGUGGGGUAGUGGCUUACCAAGGCUUUGACGGGUAGCCGGCCUGAGAGGGUGACCGGCCACAUUGGGACUGAGAUACGGCCCAGACUCCUACGGGAGGCAGCAGUGGGGAAUAUUGCACAAUGGGCGGGAGCCUGAUGCAGCAACGCCGCGUGCGGGAUGACGGCCUUCGGGUUGUAAACCGCUUUCGCCUGUGACGAAGCGUGAGUGACGGUAAUGGGUAAAGAAGCACCGGCUAACUACGUG